ACCUGGUUACUUUCUGUUUGACUGAGUGUUUCAUGGCUCUGGUUUGCACUCUGGAAGACUAAUCUUUGCUGAGAUUAGCUGAGUGGUUUUGGCUUCAAACUGAGGUAAGCCCAGAGCCUUGAGCUUGCUAAACAACUGCUCUACCCACCGAAUCUCAAGAUCCUCAACUCUACAGUGUGACACAUGAAAAGAGUGAGAGCAAAUGGAUGGAGUAUGUAGAAGCUCUGACAUGUGUCAGCUGUGGAAGGUUGAACUCUUCUGGGAUUUGUGAGACAGCAGAAACCUCCUGUGAAGCUACAAAUAAUAGGAAGUGUGCUUUACGGCUACUCUAUAAAGAUGGCAAAUUCCAAUAUGGCUUCCAGGGAUGUCUUGGAACAUGCUUCAAUUAUACCAAGACCAACAAUAAUAUGGUAAAGGAACAUAAAUGUUGUGAUCACCAAAAUUUGUGUAACAAGCCUUAAAAGCCCUUACCUGCCCUCCCUAUUCUACUUAGAGAUAUUCAUUGCAUCAUGCCACUGGAGCAGGUCAUCAAGCCUUCUACUGAACCAUAUCUUUAGCUCCACACCUACUUUCUAAAUAAUAUACCAAAGUAGUGUACCCAUGCUAUAUGUAUACUUCUGUUUUCUGUUGGGUACCUUGCAAUGCAUUCUAUGCCUCAUUAAAUGGAUUUCAUUGUACAAUAUGCAUUCUUAUAUUAUACUCAAUUAAACUUGUUUUGCACUUAC
RNAcentral lists this long non-coding RNA (725 nucleotides) under Mus musculus (house mouse). RNAcentral describes it as "predicted gene, 49367". Lineage: Eukaryota; Metazoa; Chordata; Mammalia; Rodentia; Muridae. The record is from RNAcentral.